This 405-nucleotide ribosomal RNA is filed under the name uncultured bacterium. RNAcentral's name for it is "bacterial SSU rRNA". It matches the Rfam family "Bacterial small subunit ribosomal RNA", at positions 355 to 776 of the family's 1533-position model. The record is from RNAcentral.
UUAGGAAUAUUGCGCAAUGGACGAAAGUCUGACGCAGCGACGCCGCGUGGGUGAGGAAGGCCUUCGGGUCGUAAAGCCCUUUUAGCAGGGACGAAAAAUGACGGUACCUGCAGAAAAAGCACCUGCUAACUACGUGCCAGCAGCAGCGGUAAUACGUAGGGUGCGAGCGUUAUUCGGAAUCACUGGGCGUAAAGCGCAUGUAGGCGGUUCGGUUAGUCCGAUGUGAAAGCCCACGGCUCAACCGUGGAAGUGCAUUAGAUACUGCCGGACUGGAGUGCAGGAGAGGAGAGCGGAAUUCCCGGUGUAGAGGUGAAAUUCGUAGAUAUCGGGAGGAACAACAGAGGCGAAGGCGGCUCUCUGGACUGCAACUGACGCUGAGAUGCGAAAGCGUGGGGAGCAAACAGG